CGUAGGGUGCAGGCGUUAAUCGGAAUUACUGGGCGUAAAGCGUGCGCAGGCGGUUUGCUAAGACAGGUGUGAAAUCCCCGGGCUUAACCUGGGAACUGCGCUUGUAACUGGCAAGCUAGAGUGUGGCAGAGGGGGGUGGAAUUCCACGUGUAGCAGUGAAAUGCGUAGAGAUGUGGAGGAACACCGAUGGCGAAGGCAGCCCCCUGGGCUAACACUGACGCUCAUGCACGAAAGCGUGGGGAGCAAACAGG
Molecule: ribosomal RNA, 251 nt
Filed under: uncultured bacterium
Lineage: Bacteria
Description: partial 16S ribosomal RNA
Rfam family: Bacterial small subunit ribosomal RNA
Source: RNAcentral